GAUGAACGCUGGCGGCGUGCCUAACACAUGCAAGUCGAACGAAGCGCCUUACCGGAUUCUUCGGAUGACGGUCUGGUGACUGAGUGGCGGACGGGUGAGUAACGCGUGGGUAACCUGCCCUGUACAGGGGGAUAACAGCUGGAAACGGCUGCUAAUACCGCAUAAGCGCACGAGGAGACAUCUCCUUGUGUGAAAAACUCCGGUGGUACAGGAUGGGCCCGCGUCUGAUUAGCUGGUUGGCAGGGUAACGGCCUACCAAGGCAACGAUCAGUAGCCGGUCUGAGAGGAUGAACGGCCACAUUGGAACUGAGACACGGUCCAAACUCCUACGGGAGGCAGCAGUGGGGAAUAUUGCACAAUGGGGGAAACCCUGAUGCAGCAACGCCGCGUGAGUGAAGAAGUAUUUCGGUAUGUAAAGCUCUAUCAGCAGGGAAGAUAAUGACGGUACCUGACUAAGAAGCUCCGGCUAAAUACGUG
RNAcentral lists this ribosomal RNA (477 nucleotides) under uncultured bacterium. RNAcentral describes it as "partial 16S ribosomal RNA". It matches the Rfam family "Bacterial small subunit ribosomal RNA", at positions 28 to 507 of the family's 1533-position model. The record is from RNAcentral.